GGCCUAGGCUAGUGACUCCCA
This 21-nucleotide small nuclear RNA is filed under the name Arabidopsis thaliana (thale cress). Its description in RNAcentral is "snRNA_12556". The record is from RNAcentral. Lineage: Eukaryota; Viridiplantae; Streptophyta; Magnoliopsida; Brassicales; Brassicaceae.